UACGUAGGGUGCGAGCGUUGUCCGGAAUUAUUGGGCGUAAAGGGCUCGUAGGCGGUCUGUCGCGUCGAAAGUGAAAACUCAGGGCUUAACCCUGAGCCUGCUUCCGAUACGGGCAGACUAGAGGUAUGCAGGGGAGAACGGAAUUCCUGGUGUAGCGGUGGAAUGCGCAGAUAUCAGGAGGAACACCGGUGGCGAAGGCGGGUCUCUGGGCCGAUACUGACGCUGAGGAGCGAAAGCGUGGGGAGCGAACAGG
This 253-nucleotide ribosomal RNA is filed under the name uncultured bacterium. RNAcentral describes it as "partial 16S ribosomal RNA". It matches the Rfam family "Bacterial small subunit ribosomal RNA", at positions 524 to 776 of the family's 1533-position model. The record is from RNAcentral.